CCUACGGGAGGCAGCAGUGGGGAAUAUUGGACAAUGGGCGCAAGCCUGAUCCAGCCAUACCGCGUGGGUGAAGAAGGCCUUCGGGUUGUAAAGCCCUUUUGUUGGGAAAGAAAAGCAGUCGGUUAAUACCCGAUUGUUCUGACGGUACCCAAAGAAUAAGCACCGGCUAACUUCGUGCCAGCAGCCGCGGUAAUACGAAGGGUGCAAGCGUUACUCGGAAUUACUGGGCGUAAAGCGUGCGUAGGUGGUUGUUUAAGUCUGUCGUGAAAGCCCUGGGCUCAACCUGGGAAUUGCGAUGGAAACUGGGCGACUAGAGUGUGGCAGAGGGUAGUGGAAUUCCUGGUGUAGCAGUGAAAUGCGUAGAGAUCAGGAGGAACAUCCGUGGCGAAGGCGACUGCCUGGGCCAACACUGACACUGAGGCACGAAAGCGUGGGGAGCAAACAGGAUUAGAUACCCUGGUAGUCCACGCCCUAAACGAUGCGAACUGGAUGUUGGGUGCAAUUUGGCACGCAGUAUCGAAGCUAACGCGUUAAGUUCGCCGCCUGGGGAGUACGGUCGCAAGACUGAAACUCAAAGGAAUUGACGG
RNAcentral lists this ribosomal RNA (587 nucleotides) under uncultured bacterium. Its description in RNAcentral is "bacterial SSU rRNA". It matches the Rfam family "Bacterial small subunit ribosomal RNA", at positions 338 to 916 of the family's 1533-position model. The record is from RNAcentral.